GAUCCGUUAGCUCAGCUGGGAGAGCGCCACCUUGACAGGGUGGAGGUCGUAGGUUCGAGCCCUACACGGGUCACCA
RNAcentral lists this transfer RNA (76 nucleotides) under Pullulanibacillus pueri. Its description in RNAcentral is "tRNA-Val". It matches the Rfam family "tRNA". Rfam says of the family: Transfer RNA (tRNA) molecules are approximately 80 nucleotides in length. Their secondary structure includes four short double-helical elements and three loops (D, anti-codon, and T loops). The record is from RNAcentral. Lineage: Bacteria; Bacillati; Bacillota; Bacilli; Caryophanales; Sporolactobacillaceae. RNAcentral also lists the same sequence under 1 other name.